GCCAGGUGUGGUGGCGUGCACCUGUAGUCCCAGCUACUUGGGAGGCUGAGGCAGAAGAAUCGCUUGAACCCAGGAGGCAGAGGUUGCAGUGAGCCAAGAUUGCGCCACUGCACUCCAGCCUGAGCUACAAAGCGAGACUCCGUCUCAA
Unclassified non-coding RNA from Pongo abelii (Sumatran orangutan), 148 nucleotides. It matches the Rfam family "Metazoan signal recognition particle RNA". Rfam says of the family: The signal recognition particle (SRP) is a universally conserved ribonucleoprotein. It is involved in the co-translational targeting of proteins to membranes. The record is from Ensembl. NCBI's taxonomy places the organism in Eukaryota, Metazoa, Chordata, Mammalia, Primates, Hominidae.